This is a long non-coding RNA of Cygnus atratus (black swan), 4156 nucleotides long. RefSeq lists it as uncharacterized. The record is from RefSeq and is a predicted model, not a curated record. The transcript is spliced from 3 exons. NCBI's taxonomy places the organism in Eukaryota, Metazoa, Chordata, Aves, Anseriformes, Anatidae.
CUUGGCAUUGAGUAAGGUGUAGAGAACUGUUCUGGAAACUACCGUUCCUAGGUUUGGGCAGAAGGUGAAGAUCUGAAGCAAAUGUGUAGUGGAGGCAAAGGACAGAAUUCUUUGGGCGUGGCAGACUUACCAUUAAUUCCUGUGGGGAUCCUGGGGCCAGAGAUCACUUGCUAUGAAUUUGCAGGAGUUGGCAAAACUAAAUGUCACAAGUGAGCUAGUGGGAGUUAAAAACUGAACAUGCACAAAACCCGCUGUUAUUGUUUUCUGUUUCAAAGAAACUAAAUCUUGCCAUUUUGUGUGGCAGCAGGGUGCUUACUCAUAGUUCUUGGAUGCCUGAGGCUGACCAUGAGGCACUAAGUAUGCAUGAGUGCAAUAAGAAUAUUGGAAUAAUCACUCUCCCUCAGCUGCCUUACUCCAUUCAGAGCUGUCUGGGAGACAAUUCUUCAUCUGGCAUAACUGAAUUUUGGGCUGAAUGAGAUAUGCUCCACUCAGUAUAGGAAAAAUGAGUGAAGUGCUUUCAGUGGACUGCUGGGAUAUCAGCAAACUUCCCAUGCCACUGAAAAGUAUGAAGAUAUCCAUAAUGAAGGGUUUUGGAGAGUGAGAUAAAAGCAAUGAAAGAUCUGAAUAGUGGAUAUGCAUCUAGUUGCGCUUCUGUCCUUUGAUCUGUGAUUCCAAGUACUAGCCUCCUCUGCGUGUUUUCAUAUGUGUCUUUAUUAUCAACAACAUUUAGCUGGUCCAUAGCACUCAACUAGUUAGGCAGUAACAGCAAGUCCAUACUAAAGCCUUCUGUUCAGAUGCACUCUGAGUGCAAGAGAGAGAUCAGGUCUAAAAUUACUUGACUUUUGGUAUGAUUUCUCUUCUAGAAAUAUUUAAGCAGUCUGAUUUGGUCAGGUGAAUGUGUCUUUUCAUUUUGCUUAGUUUUAACAGGCUACGCAUCUUUCCUCAGAGCUAUCUGGGUUAGCGUCUGUGUUGCUUCAGAGGAGGCAGAGCAGGUCCUCAGGGUACGAUGGCACUAUAGAACAGACACUGUGGCUCAGUAAGGGCUCAUAUGUUGUGCCUGCAAUGUGUUGUAACCAGCUGCAUUCCUGGAAUGUUAUUUUCUUAGCUGAAGACCAGUAUAUAAAGCUGGAGGAAAAUUCUUCAGGAAAGUGUCAUAGGAGAAUAUGCAUCAGUCAGUAAAAGCAGAAUUACGGAAAAGUAAAAGAUCCUGUUGUAACAGAUUAAGUACCUAUCAAGUGACAACAGCAGUUUAUUUUCCUCGAGCAAAAUUAGUGGAUAUACUUAGACAUAAUCCUACCCUCAAGUGUUUUAAUUCUGAUGACAUUUUUUAUUAAGGAGAGUUGGCAAAAUGGAAAAGUACACACUCUAAUGGAAACAAUAUCAUAAAUUUGACAGCAUUUCUACAAGUGUUCUGCUAUUCCACAGAUGUGUUGGGAACCAUCUCUGAGGUUUCAUCAGUGUGAAUGAGGACAAAACUUGGGCUUCAUCAUCCUUGAAACUCUGGGUACCUCUAAUUUAACUUUACAGCAGAGUAGAAGUUGUGUGAUUCUGCAGCCAGCAGUGCUGUGAGAACUAUACCUCAUUUGCUUCAGGUACAAAAGGGUGAGGACAUCCACGUGUGGCUGACUGCAGUAUCGAAGACCGUAACUGAACAGGGGUUUUUAGACUACAGCCACUGACAGCUGCAGUGAAAAGCAUUCUGCUCAAUAAAAUCUAGCCAGAUAGUGGGCAAGUGCUAGGUAAGUGCCUCUCUAGCUACAAACUGCAUGGUCAAAGGUGAAGCUUCCUUGAUAUACCUAUCAGCAGAACUAUGGAGGACAGAAUAAUUUCCUGAGUAUAUGGAGCCUGAAGAUAUCAGCUAUUAAUUUUUUGAAAUUUUCUUCUAACAUAUUAAAACUGUUUAGAUACUGAAAAAACAACAACAACAAAAAACACUUUAUUUCAAAUAUUGGUUUACAUUAAGUCAGAUGGUGAUCGUGUUAACUGAUAAAUAUUUCUUACUGUGUCUCCCUGAAUCUUAAUGUUUCCCUAAAACAAAAACAAAAGCUGAAAAUCCGACCAUGAUAGAGUAUUAAUUCAAGGCCUCUACAGUCCACUUGUAUCCCACUGAAGCACUGGGCUUCCAGCUCUUAUCUUAAUGAAACAGCUCAUAGUGUCAAAGAAAAAAAGCCACAAUGUUGUGAACCUUGGUUACUUUGAUCCAUUCUAAGUAUUGAGCUGUACCAUGCCAUCCUAGAAUUGUCAGUCAAUGUAGGCUCUGCUCUAGCACUUUCAAAGUGAGUAGCAGUAUAUUUCUCUUUCCCGAUCUCCUGCUUCCAAAGCCAGCAGAAGCUGCAGAGACAGCAUAUUUGGCUCCCUCAGGAAGGAUGUUAGUGCUUUGUUUGGUUUGAAUCUCUCACCUCACCCUCUAGCCAAUGAACAAUCAUCAUGGGCAGACUCUGAAGGGAAUUUUCUCGAGGUCUCCUUGAAGGAAAGAUGAUGCCAGUGAACUGGCAGUGGGGAUAGUCAUGCCUCAGAAACCAACAUGGCUCUUCCACACCUACCCACAAAAAAAAUAAUAAUAUGAAUGGUAAAAUUAGGGUUGGAAACAAAUAGUGCAAUGCUAUGACCACAAGUACAGCACAGAAGAAAGCCAGAGAAACUGGCAUGGUAACAAAAUAUGCUGGAACCUGAGCAGAAGAGAGACCUUGAAACAACUUAGGAAGGUAAGAUCAACUGGAAAAAUAGUGGUGCCUUAUCAGUUAUUCUAGUACCUUGCAGUAGAUGGCACUGUGGAAUUCCCAUGGGCCAGUAGUUUAAGAGACUGAAGCAGAAGUAAUUUAAAAAUCUUUCUUUCCCUCUUCAAGGGAUGGGAUCAAGAACAUUAAAAGUAAAAAAUAACGUAAUACAAUAGAAUCUGCCCAAAUGGAUAAAUAGAAAUAUGUACCUUAACUCAAAGAAAUAAAAAUAAUAAAAACAAAGGGGAGUAGUUUCUGCCCUAAAAGCAGAAACUGAAUAGGAAACAGGGUUUUUUGUCUAUCAGAUAGGCACUAAAGACACCGCAUAAGUCUCAGUGAUUUGUACAUGGAAUAGAAAACAAAUGUAUUGUAAUGUAUUGUAUUGACCAAAAAAUAAAUAAUACAUUCAGAAUGCAGCAUAAGAAAAGAAGAACUUUCCUAUGUUUUGACUAAUGAUUCUUGAAUGGCAGAGGCAGGCAUUCCAUAGCCUACUCCAUGACCAGUUUUCAGCUCCACCACAGUGCUACAGUCCUGGGCCAUUGCGACUUUGGAUCCCAAGGAAACACUACCUGCAAAGAAGUAGGUCUUUCCAAAGCAUGUGUCCAAUGUAGGUAUCUAAGACAGAACUAGUAGCACUACCAGUUGAAGACCUCACUUUUAGUGAAAUUUGACUUCAUAGAAUUGCAAUAAUUUGAACUGAUAUCUUCCACACCAAAGGUCUGCCUCAAUGCACAUGAUUAUUUCUGAGUUUUAUUGUAUCUACAGUGACUAGUAGAUACAUAGAAUAAAGACCCUGUAUUAGGCUGACUUUUUCAUAAUACCCAAUGCCCUACCAAAUAUCUUAUUUUGGUAUGUCAUUGUAAUUAUUCCUCUUACAAAUGUUCCUUUGUAUGCAUGAAUGCUAUACUUGUUUAUGCAAAUCAAGGACACGUAAUUGCCCUGGCAUUUCUGAAAACAGAAUGCAGAAUUGCAAAGAAGAAUUUUAAUUUACUCUGUGUAAUCAACUUGGCUUUCGAGGCCUAUACCACAAACUAUCUACAAUGUCCGUAGAAUCUUUUUUGCAGCUUGAUUUUUUGAUUGACGUGAUUUUUCCCAACUUGUGUUUAUGAAAAUAAAAUGUGCCAGUAAAAAAUAAAAUAAAAUCAAAAUAAAAAAUCUCACUGUGUUUCUAACUGGUCUGAGAUCAGAGAUGAUACAUUCAAUAGUGGAGAACAUAAUCUCUACCCCAAGGAACUUGGCAUGUUACAGCAGACACAACUCUUGUAUGUACUAAUGCAUAUUAGGAUUCCACCUCUGACAAAAUAGGAGAGCUUUGUGUGGAAGAUUUAAGGCCUUUUUUUAUCAUUCUUAUGAUAAAUUAAUUAAUUAUUUUUGAAAGACCUUUCAGAGUAUGAGUUUUUAAAAGAAUUUAGUUGGUCAAGCUUACUCCAGCUCUCCAG